AACUAUUUUUCUUCUGCGGAUGGCUCGGAAGUUGGGGAGUCCUCCGCUGUCACGACUCGGAGUAUCGCGUGAUCUGGAAAUCGAGAACAAUGCAACAAUUACUGGACUCGGACUAGGACUGGUGGCGGAGAUGAAUCUGGUGGAACUCGGACUGGUGGCGGAGAUGAAUCUGGUGGAACUCGGACUGGUGGCGGAGAUGAAUCUGGUGGAACUCGGACUGGUGGCGGAUAUCUGUUGCAGGUGGACUCGGAUGGGCGUGAUGGCGGCGGAUAUGUGGUGGCGUAUAUGGAUUCAGAUUGGCGGUGAAUAUGUGGUGGUGGUAUAUGGCGGCAGCAAUGUGACAACCUGUGAACAGAACUCGAAACUCUAAAAGACUAGACGCUAAGACCAGCAACUUGACACGACGAUGCAACCGCAAAUUCAAGAAAGCAAAUACUGAAAAGAUUAUGCAAAGGCUCAGAUUGGUUCGGAUGGGAUGAACUAACCCUAAUUUUUUUGGCUUUUUCGUGGACUAUAGGUAUGAAGAACAGACUCGAUCUAAACUACGAAAAACUGUAAAAUCUCACCGAGCAACCUGGAAAUCUGAUACCACUUGAUAGAGGCAAAGGUGUCCCGUCUUUCGAUGAGAUGGUGGAUUUCGCUUUGGUGGAAGUCGACUUUGACGAUCCGACUAUGAAC
Molecule: long non-coding RNA, 678 nt
Filed under: Triticum aestivum (bread wheat)
Lineage: Eukaryota; Viridiplantae; Streptophyta; Magnoliopsida; Poales; Poaceae
Description: long non-coding RNA (TAES_LNC016015)
Source: RNAcentral